GAUGAACGCUGGCUACAGGCUUAACACAUGCAAGUCGAGGGGAAACGACGGGGAAGCUUGCUUCCCCGGGCGUCGACCGGCGCACGGGUGAGUAACGCGUAUCCAACCUGCCUCUGACUGAGGGAUAACCCGUCGAAAGUCGGCCUAAUACCUCAUGGCAUCGUCUGCGGGCAUCCAACGACGAUUAAAGAUUUCAUCGGUCAGGGAUGGGGAUGCGUCUGAUUAGCUUGUUGGCGGGGUAACGGCCCACCAAGGCUACGAUCAGUAGGGGGUCGGAGAGGAAGGCCCCCCACAUUGGAACUGCGACACGGUCCAAACUCCUACGGGAGGCAGCAGUGUGUAAUAUUGGGCAAUGGGCGGGAGCCUGACCCAGCCAAGUAGCGUGCAGGAUGCCGGCCCUAUGGGUUGUAAACUGCUUUUAGGCGGGGAUAAAGUGAGGGACGUGUCCUUCAUUGCAGGUACCGCAUGAAUAAGGACCGGCUAAUUCCGUG
RNAcentral lists this ribosomal RNA (491 nucleotides) under uncultured bacterium. RNAcentral's name for it is "partial 16S ribosomal RNA". It matches the Rfam family "Bacterial small subunit ribosomal RNA", at positions 28 to 507 of the family's 1533-position model. The record is from RNAcentral.